UACGGAGGGGGCUAGCGUUGUUCGGAAUUACUGGGCGUAAAGCACACGUAGGCGGAUCGGAUAGUCAGGGGUGAAAUCCCGGGGCUCAACCCCGGAACUGCCUUUGAAACUCCCGGUCUUGAGGUCGCGAGAGGUGAGUGGAAUUCCGAGUGUAGAGGUGAAAUUCGUAGAUAUUCGGAGGAACACCAGUGGCGAAGGCGGCUCACUGGCGCGAUACUGACGCUGAGGUGCGAAAGCGUGGGGAGCAAACAGG
RNAcentral lists this ribosomal RNA (253 nucleotides) under uncultured bacterium. RNAcentral describes it as "partial 16S ribosomal RNA". It matches the Rfam family "Bacterial small subunit ribosomal RNA", at positions 524 to 776 of the family's 1533-position model. The record is from RNAcentral.